Molecule: ribosomal RNA, 251 nt
Filed under: uncultured prokaryote
Description: partial 16S ribosomal RNA
Rfam family: Bacterial small subunit ribosomal RNA
Source: RNAcentral
UACGGAGGUGGCAAGCGUUGUUCGGAAUUACUGGGCGCAAAGGGCUCGUAGGUGGCCAAUUAAGUCAGUCGUGAAAUCCCUCGGCUUAACCGGGGAACUGCGUCUGAUACUGGAUGGCUUGAAUCCGGGAGAGGGAUGUGGAAUUCCAGGUGUAGCGGUGAAAUGCGUAGAUAUCUGGAGGAACACCGGUGGCGAAGGCGGCAUCCUGGACCGGCAUUGACGCUGAGGAGCGAAAGCCAGGGGAGCAAACG